Molecule: ribosomal RNA, 497 nt
Filed under: uncultured bacterium
Lineage: Bacteria
Description: partial 16S ribosomal RNA
Rfam family: Bacterial small subunit ribosomal RNA
Source: RNAcentral
GAUGAACGCUGGCGGCGUGCCUAAUACAUGCAAGUCGAGCGAACGGACGAGAAGCUUGCUUCUCUGAUGUUAGCGGCGGACGGGUGAGUAACACGUGGAUAACCUACCUAUAAGACUGGGAUAACUUCGGGAAACCGGAGCUAAUACCGGAUAAUAUUUUGAACCGCAUGGUUCAAAAGUGAAAGACGGUCUUGCUGUCACUUAUAGAUGGAUCUGCGCUGCAUUAGCUAGUUGGUAAGGUAACGGCUUACCAAGGCAACGAUGCAUAGCCGACCUGAGAGGGUGAUCGGCCACACUGGAACUGAGACACGGUCCAGACUCCUACGGGAGGCAGCAGUAGGGAAUCUUCCGCAAUGGGCGAAAGCCUGACGGAGCAACGCCGCGUGAGUGAUGAAGGUCUUCGGAUCGUAAAACUCUGUUAUUAGGGAAGAACAUAUGUGUAAGUAACUGUGCACAUCUUGACGGUACCUAAUCAGAAAGCCACGGCUAACUACGUG